Molecule: ribosomal RNA, 273 nt
Filed under: uncultured bacterium
Lineage: Bacteria
Description: partial 16S ribosomal RNA
Rfam family: Bacterial small subunit ribosomal RNA
Source: RNAcentral
UACGUAGGGUGCAAGCGUUGUCCGGAAUUAUUGGGCGUAAAGAGCUCGUAGGCGGUCUGUCGCGUCGGAUGUGAAAACCCGGGGCUUAACCCCGGGCCUGCAUUCGAUACGGGCAGACUCGAGUGUGGUAGGGGAGACUGGAACUCCUGGUGUAGCGGUGAAAUGCGCAGAUAUCAGGAAGAACACCGGUGGCGAAGGCGGGUCUCUGGGCCACUACUGACGCUGAGGAGCGAAAGCGUGGGGAGCGAACAGGAUUAGAAACCCCAGUAGUCC